RNAcentral lists this ribosomal RNA (822 nucleotides) under Triticum aestivum (bread wheat). RNAcentral describes it as "partial small subunit ribosomal RNA". Lineage: Eukaryota; Viridiplantae; Streptophyta; Magnoliopsida; Poales; Poaceae. The record is from RNAcentral.
AUGGGAGAACACUGGCACAUCCCUGAGGUACGGUCGUUCAGGAGGAUGGGGUCGGAGUGGCUUGCCCAAAGCCUCUGCGAUCUCCCGGACCGGGAGCGGCUGGAGAUGAUGAUGCUGCUAUGGCGCUGUUGGCAUGUCCAGAAUGAAGUCACGCACGACAAGACGCCGGCCCCUGUCGAGGUUUCUUGCCGCUUCCUGUUGAGCUACGUGGAGUCCAUCAUCGGCUCGCAGAACCGGCCGGAGGCUGACCCGGUGAAGGGUAAGCAAGCGGUGGAGUUGCUGCACACGACAUCGCCUACUAGGACGCCGACGAGCAUCCCGCCCCCUGCCAGAUGGUCACCUCCCCCGACGGGUUGGGCCAAACUCAAUGUUGAUGGGUCCUUUUGCCCCUUGACGGGAUCGGCUGGAGCGGGCAUGGUGCUUCGGGACAGCUCGGGCACGAUCAUCUUCUCAUCAUGCCGCCAACUUCGGACUUGUGCGGAUGCACUGGAGGCGGAGUUGUCCGCGUGUAUGGAGGGUUUAAACCUGGCACUUCAAUGGACACCUCUGCCGGUGGAGAUCGAGACUGAUUGUCUAGUUGGCUUCAAUAUGUUGAGGGGUAACAGUGUUGACCGCUCCCGUUAUGCUAUGUUGAUAGAUCAGACCAAACGCCUCAUGAUGGAAGGACGAGAAGUGAGACUAGCUCACGUCCCUCGUGAUCAAAAUAAAGUUAGUCAUUUGCUUGCAAACUUUGGUAGAGUAGAAGAGCGCACUGCUGUGUGGCUCGGUUCUGGUCCAGGCGAUGUGCCUGAUCUUUGUAAGCAAGACUAUCAGUCAGGGUAA